GCUAUAGUAUAGUUAUUGUCGGUCAGUCGCCACAGCCGCUGACGGGACUGUUCACCGACAGCAGUUGCGGACCCCAAUAACACCGGAUCACGGUGAUAGUGAUAAUAAUAAAAAAAAAAAAUAAUAAUAUAUCUCUGUCCUGUGGUGUGUGUGUGUGACCUAUUGCCGUGUUCGUUUUAUCGAAAUAACAAAAUUGGAAAACCGGCGAAACGCUGCAGAGGCCUGCAGCAAUCGCCCUCAGCCGGCGCACGUUCUCGUCACAUUUUAUAUUCUAGAUACGUCAUAAAUAUCUACGAUUUUCAAUUACGAGAAUAAAUUUACAAAUUCGUCGGCGACCCAUACGUCCACCAAUUCACCAUAUUAUUUCAACGAAACAAAACCUAAUGUUUUUCGCGCGAAUAAACGUUCACAAAUCGUAAUAGUUUUUUUCGUAGUAAAUUCCCCAGUCCUCUCACACGUUUACUCGUGCCACUAUCGCUAUAUACGGUGCAAUUACUGUGCGGGAGAGAGGGGUAGUAUAUUAUAAUAUUAUGUGUUUUAGUCAUCGCUUACACCAUCGACUAUAGGCCACGUCAUGCCACUGGUCGUUUCAGGGUGCAGUUGUACGUUAAAUGUACAGGAAGCCUGAGCGCGUGUCGCCAAAAGGGUUGUUCAGUCCACUACGGUACGCGCAGCCGAUGUGAUCACUGUCGUGCAAAUAUAGAUAUUAGACAAAUCCAGAAAUCUGUACAUCGACGUUUGUAAUACCUGCGUCCUGCAAGUUCAAUUAUACCGAUAUCCAAUCAGCCUACAUCCACUUUGACUCAUAUCUUUGAUUUGGUGACUGCACAUUGUUCGGACGAGGACACCACACCAAUGGCGACCGAAUGCACGCCACUAACCAAUACCGAUGACGUCACACCAGUAUCAGGUUCCGGGUACAUUUCGCUGUCGAAACACGAAACCGAUCACACUCCGCCGUGCCUGAAACCUAGAUGUUGCGUGUACGCAGCACUGCUGUCAUUGGUAUUAAUGGCCAUUAUAGUGGGCACGUCAUAUUACGUGGACCGGAGUCAAGGCGACUCGACAGUUAUUCAACCGGCCUCGGUGGCGAACACGUUGUUGCAGCUCAGAUGGCCAUUGAAAAACGAAGAAGACGAGGGAAUAACUGCGACAUCAAUUAUUCAGGGGACCGUCGUUAUAAAUGCGACCGGGGACGACUUAAUGUCCGCGGUGGAGAGAGGCUACAAAAGUUUGAAAGCCAAAGAGGAUUUGGAAAAAAACUUUCCGACAAUUGAUGGCGGGACUCCAUCAUACCGUCAUCAGCAAGUGAUGAAGUCCGGCCCCGAAUCGAUAGGAAUCGCGCGGAACGGUUACGUCGAAAACAUCGCGACUGAAAAAUUGAGGCUGCUAUUAAACAUCACUAAGGACCAGGAUGUUACGAUAUUGGUGGGCAACGUGACCGUUUUCAACAACGCCGAGUGCAUGAGUCCCGAACCGGUGAUUUGCCCUCUCCAGAGUCGUUACCGGACUGUGGAAGGCAUUUGUAACAACAUCUUGGAGCCGCUCAAAGGCGCCGCACUGAUGCCGUUCCACAGAGUGUUGCCGGCCGACUACUCCGACGGCGUAUGGAAACCGAGGAAAGCGACGGACGGUUCGGAGUUGCCGUCGGCUAAACGAGUCAGCGAGGAGGUGCACCGACCUUCGUACGAAGAAGAUCACGAUUUCACCGUCAUGCUGGCGGUCUGGGGUCAGUUCAUGGAUCACGACAUUACCGCCACCGCGCUCAGCCGAGGGCAUAAUGGAAGCGCUAUUUCGUGCUGCGGAUCGGUGGGCAAAAACGUUACGCACCCCGAAUGUUUUCCAGUGAUCGUGCACGAAGGUGAGAAAAAGUGCGGGAAAUGCAUGGAGUUUGUGCGGUCUUCGCCUGCGUCUACCUGCGGUUUCGGGCCCAGGGAACAGUUGAACCAAGCGAGCUCGUAUCUGGACGGAUCAUCCGUGUACGGCAACACACGUAAACUGCAAAACGACCUGAGAUCAUGGACUGGCGGACGAAUGAAGGUGUUCGUAACCGAAUAUGGAAAACAGUUGCUGCCGCCCAACAAAGAUCCGCUGGACGGGUGCAACGAAGAAUCGGAAAUGAAAAAAGGCCGUUACUGCUUUUUGUCCGGAGACGCCAGAUCGAAUGAAAACAUGCACCUGACGACUCUCCAUUUGAUCAUGGUGCGGCAGCACAACAUGAUUGCCGGUAGAUUGUCGUCACUAAAUCCCCACUGGGACGACGAACACAUAUUUCAAGAAACCAGACACAUAGUCACUGCUCAGAUUCAACACAUCACGUACAAUGAAUUUCUACCAGUAUUGCUUGGUGACAGUCUCAUGAAGCGCCUGGACUUGUACUCUCGAAAAACUGGUCAUUGGAACGGAUACAAUUCUACAGUGGACCCGACCAUCAGCAACAACUUUGCCACCGCGGCCUUCCGUUUCGCCCACACACUCAUACCGAGCAUGAUGAAAUUCCUUAGAGAUAACAACAGCGAUCCCGAAUUUGUCGAAAUGAGGAAAAUGCUGUUCAACCCUUACAGGCUGUACACAUGCGGCGGCGUGGAUAGUGUCAUUCGUGGAGCGAUGAACACGAGCGCCGGAAAAUCUGACGCAUUUUUCACACCCGAAGUCACCAGACAUCUUUUUGAGAAGAACCACGGGUCGGGGCGCACCAGAGGACAGUGCGGAUUGGACUUGGUCGCACUGAACAUACAGAGGGGCCGAGAUCACGGACUUCCGGCGUACCCACGGUGGCGUGAAACGUGCGGGUUUCCGAGGCCACAGAGUUUCAGCGAUCUGGAAGGGCACGUAGAGCCGGCAACGCUGCAAAGAAUAUCGAAAUUGUAUAAGUCGAUCGACGAUUUGGACCUGUACACCGGGCUGCUUUCAGAGAAGCCGCUGGAAGGAAGCAUCUUGGGGCCGACUAUCACAUGUCUGUUGGCCGAUCAAUUCCUGAGGGUGAAAUCGGGUGAUCGUUAUUGGUACGAGACGGACGAGAAACCUCAAGCAUUUAACGAGGAUCAGCUGUCAGAGAUCCGAAAAACCACGUUUGCGGCAAUAAUCUGCGACAAUUCCGACGAAAUUGAAUCCGUUCAGCUGCACGUGAUGCACAGCGCUCGGAAAGUCGGCAACGCCAGAGUUGGUUGCGACAGUUUAAUAAAAACGUCUCUCGGCCCGUGGAAAGAAGAGUUCGACGCGGCCGCUCCUUUGGCCGCCCCUCAGGACCCGACCUCCACCCCACAGGUCGACCCGACCACCACCCCACAGGUCGACCAGACCAACACCGCUCAGGACUCCACCACCGCCGUCGCCGCCACCGAAGUCACGACCAGUAAUAAUAAUAAUAACAACGGAUCACAUUCGGCCGAAGUCCUGCAACCGGCGACAAUUAUUGGCACGGAAAAUCGAUAAGGACCACGUGCUAGAACGUAAAUUAAUUUCAAGUCGGGUAGCCCAAAAUUAAGUUUAAAAAAUAUUGUAUAACACCAGAUACCUUAACCAUAAUAUUAUUGUAUGUAAUGUCUGUAUAAAAUACUUAUGAACUCCGAACUCGCGUGUGGUACAGAGUUUCAGCAUUAAAUUAUAAGAUAUUAUUUUUACUGUUGAUCACAUUCGCCAACGGUUGAGAUGAAAGAGGGGGCUUACAUGAGCUUAAACCCCUGGAAAUAAUAUAUAUUUAAGAUCUCCGCUUACAAUACUCGCGCACCGAUUUCUAAGCGGACACGAUGCUCCACCGUCAUAAUUAUCUUAUAUUAUAGAAGUACGUACAAUAGUAAUAAUAUUAUGCUUAUCAUAUCCUAUGUUUUAAUAUUGGACAAGUCUAAAAAACCAUUUCGUCGUGUCUGGUAUUACGAUAAUUAUUAUUAUAAUAUUAUGAGGUCUUUAGCGGUACGCGUCUGGUAUCAUUAUGAUUAUAAUUUAUAUAAAAUACGAACACUAGAAAAAUUUAAUAAUUCAAAGUGAACGUUUUAUGGUUUAAACAAUAAUAUAUUCAAAGACUAUAUACGAGACGAUGAGACGGUACAUAAUCAUUUCUUUGAUGUGCAUUCUUAUUGUGAAUACUAUUUGUGUUUUGUAAUAACGAUUUUACUGUAAUAAAUAUUAUAAGACCGUCGUAUGACAAUUAUAUAAUAACUGUUAUCUUUGCGCAAACGUUAUAAAUUACGAUUUUUUUAUACCUACAGCUAUAGCUCUUAUGUAUACUAUGUAUUUUUUUUUUUUUUAAUUAUAAACAAUUUAUGUACAUUAUCGUAAUAUUAUUACUAUUUAGUGAUGAACCUUAAAAUAAAUGUACCUACAUUAAACGUUGUGAAUUUUCGUGUAAAAAUAUAAGUUUUAAUUUUUAUGGUCCAUAAUAUUAUUAUUAUUAUUUAUUACCUGUGAAAACAAUAAAGUGUAAAAAUUUCAAAUCACAAACACGUACCUAUAAUGGGCUAUAAUUUGUUUUGCUGUAGAUAUAUUAUAGUGCAAGCCACGUAAAAUAUGUAGCUGCCAAAUUAUAAUAAACUGCUAAUAAAAUAUU
RNA transcript from Metopolophium dirhodum (rose-grain aphid), 4546 nucleotides. It is a transcript of the gene named lactoperoxidase, with no coding region annotated. The record is from RefSeq and is a predicted model, not a curated record. NCBI's taxonomy places the organism in Eukaryota, Metazoa, Arthropoda, Insecta, Hemiptera, Aphididae. The transcript is spliced from 16 exons.